Molecule: ribosomal RNA, 508 nt
Filed under: uncultured bacterium
Lineage: Bacteria
Description: partial 16S ribosomal RNA
Rfam family: Bacterial small subunit ribosomal RNA
Source: RNAcentral
AUUGAACGCUGGCGGCAUGCCUUACACAUGCAAGUCGACCGGCAGCGGGGGAGAAGCUUGCUUUUCCUGCCGGCGAGUGGCGAACGGGUGAGUAAUACAUCGGAACGUGCCCUGUAGUGGGGGAUAACUAGUCGAAAGAUUAGCUAAUAUCGCAUACGACCUGAGGGUGAAAGUGGGGGACCGCAAGGCCGCAUGCUAUAGGAGCGGCCGAUGGCUGAUUAGCUGGUUGGUGGGGUAUAGGCCUACCAAGGCGACGAUCAGUAGCUGGUCUGAGAGGACGAUCAGCCACACUGGGACUGAGACACGGCCCAGACUCCUACGGGAGGCAGCAGUGGGGAAUUUUGGACAAUGGGCGAAAGCCUGAUCCAGCAAUGCCGCGUGUGUGAAGAAGGCCUUCGGGUUGUAAAGCACUUUUGUCCGGAAAGAAAUGGCUCUGGUUAAUACCUGGGGUCGAUGACGGUACCGGAAGAAUAAGGACCGGCUAACUACGUGCCAGCCGCCGCAGUAA